This 1506-nucleotide ribosomal RNA is filed under the name Acropyga pallida. RNAcentral's name for it is "16S ribosomal RNA". The record is from RNAcentral. Lineage: Eukaryota; Metazoa; Arthropoda; Insecta; Hymenoptera; Formicidae.
UAAAUAAAAUUAUAUUAACAAAAAUUAUUUUAGUUGUAGUAAUUAAUUAAAAAUAAUAAUUUAAAUUAUAAUAAUUAAGUAAUGUGAAUGAAUAAAAGUAAAAAAUUUUUAUAUAGUAAUUUUAUUUUAUUGUACCUUUUGUAUCAGGGUUUAUUUAAAAUUUAUUUUUAAAAUUAAAAUUUUUCGAAGAAAAUAGAGUUAAAUAAUUAUAAAAUUUAAUGUUUAAUUAUUAUUUUUAAUAUUUAUUUAGAGAAGAUAUUUUAAUCAAUUUUUUGGAUAUCUAGUUUUUUUUGAUAUAAAUUUAAUUUAAUAUAUAUUUAUUUUAAUUAUAAUAAUUAUUUAAUAUUAUAUUAUUAUAAUUUAAUUUAUAUAAAAAAUUUAUGGGAUAAUCUAUAAAUUAUUUUAAAAUUAAUUUUAUUUAUUUUUGUUAUAUAACAAUAAAUAUUAAAAUUAAAAAUAUUUUUAAAAUUGAAAUUUUUUUGAAAAAAUUUAAUAAUUUAUAAUAAAUAAAUUAAUUUUUAAUUAUUUAAUAAAAAUAUUUAAUUUUUUAAAAAAAUAUUUUUAAUAAUUAUUAAUAUUAAAAAAUAAUGAUAAAAUUAGUAUUAAAUUUAUGAUAUAUUAUUAAAUUAAACUUUAAUAUUAAUAUUUAUAAAUAUAAAAAUAUAAAUUAAAUAUUUUUUUGAAGAAUUAGGCAAAUUAAAUUUAUUAUAUUAAAUAUAAAUAAUAUAAUUAAAUUCACCUGUUUAAUAAAAACAUGGUUUUAAGAUAUUAUAAUUUAAGAUUUGUUCUGCUCAAUGAUAUUUAAAAUUAAAUAGCUGCAGUAAUUUGACUGUACUAAGGUAGCAUAAUAAAUUGUCUUUUAAUUAAAGGCUUGAAUGAAGGAAUGGAUGAAAUUUAAACUAUUUUAGAAUUAUAAUAUGAAUUUAUAUUUUAAGUUAAAAUUCUUAAAUAAAAUUAUGGGACGAUAAGACCCUAUAGAAUUUUAUAUAAUUUUAAAAUUAUUUUUAUAAUAAAUAUAUAUUUAAAAUUAUAUUUUAUUGGGAGGAUAGUAAAAUUUAAUAAACUUUUAUAUUAAAUGAAAAAUAAUAUUUUAUUUUAAUAAAUAAUUUUUUUAAUAUUAAAUUAAAAUUUAAUUAAAUAUUAUGAAUAUAUAUAUUAAUUUUAUAAACAUUAAUUGAUGAUUAUUAAUAUUUUGAAUAAAUAAUAAAAUUAUUUUUAAUUAGAAUUAAUUACCUUAGGGAUAACAGCGUAAUAUUUUUUUUAAGUUCUUAUUGAAAGAAAUGUUUGCGACCUCGAUGUUGAAUUAAAAUAAAGAUUAAAUGAAGAAGUUUAAUUAUUGAGUCUGUUCGACUAUUUAAAUUUUACAUGAUUUGAGUUUAGAUCGGUGUGAGCCAGAUCGGUUUUUAUCUAUAAUUUAUUUAAAAUAAUUUUGUACGAAAGGACUUUUUAUUUAAAAUAAUUUUUAUUGAAUUGAAUUAAUUAAAAUUACAAAGGUUUGAAUAAAAA